Molecule: ribosomal RNA, 253 nt
Filed under: uncultured bacterium
Lineage: Bacteria
Description: partial 16S ribosomal RNA
Rfam family: Bacterial small subunit ribosomal RNA
Source: RNAcentral
UACGUAGGGUGCGAGCGUUGUCCGGAAUUAUUGGGCGUAAAGGGCUCGUAGGCGGUUUGUCGCGUCGGGAGUGAAAACCUCGGGCUUAACUCGGGGCCUGCUUUCGAUACGGGCAGACUAGAGGUAUGCAGGGGAGAACGGAAUUCCUGGUGUAGCGGUGAAAUGCGCAGAUAUCAGGAGGAACACCGGUGGCGAAGGCGGUUCUCUGGGCAUGAUCUGACGCUGAGGAGCGAAAGUGUGGAGAGCGAACAGG